GUCUAAUGGAAGGGAAGGUGGCUGGGCCAGGGCUCAGGGCUGCGUACUGGAGACCCAGUUCCUUCCAGCUCUGCACAGAGCAGAGGAUCUGGGGCCCAGGUAGACCAGUCUCUUAAUGAAGUUGGUUCUUAAUGAAGAUCUAGAUACAGCAAAUGGUUGUUCCAGAAAAAUCUCAGAAGCACCUGGCCUCUCACGAACACCAGCGCCACAAUAGGAGCCAGCACAUCUCCGACUUCCUGUGCAAGGUGCUGUGUGGAAAGACAGUGGUUUUUUUCGUUAAGAUGCCAAUUUGGGGCUGGUGAGAUGUCUCUGCAGGGAAAGGCGCUUGCCAGGAAGCCUAACAACCCGAGGUCGUGAGCUGGUGGGAGAGAACCAACUCCCACAAGUUACCCUCUGACCUCCACAUUCAGGUAUUUCCUUCUCCCACCCCCCUCCCAGCCACCCCCUCCCCAAUCUCUAACAUAAAUAAGAAGUACAGGUGGGCAGUGGUGGCACACGCCUUUAAUCCCAGCACUUGGGAGGCAGAGGCA
RNAcentral lists this long non-coding RNA (530 nucleotides) under Mus caroli (Ryukyu mouse). Its description in RNAcentral is "lncRNA (MGP_CAROLIEiJ_G0003008.1)". Lineage: Eukaryota; Metazoa; Chordata; Mammalia; Rodentia; Muridae. The record is from RNAcentral.